GUGAAACCCAAUUUGGUCUCCAUGCAGCUCCAUGUAAGCUGUGAAGUGCAGAGAGACAGGUCGGUGCUGAUCUUUCUCUCUGCAAGGAAAAAAAGUGUUAGCAAUAAAAUCCCACCCCCUCUCACCUCUUUCAAGUAAAAUUUAACCCUUUCUCUGCCCUUUGAUCACUGUCUGCAGUGAUCAAAAUACAGACCACAGGAUUUCACUGUGAUGAUUUUUUUUUUCUUUUAACCCCUGAGGGUUAACUUUUUUUUAAUCCUCAGGGGUUAAAUUUUUGUUGCAUAGGUAACUCCAUGUAAAUUCAC
Non-coding RNA from Pelobates cultripes (western spadefoot toad), 305 nucleotides. The record is from the annotation of a GenBank genome assembly. Lineage: Eukaryota; Metazoa; Chordata; Amphibia; Anura; Pelobatidae.